RNAcentral lists this ribosomal RNA (525 nucleotides) under uncultured bacterium. RNAcentral's name for it is "bacterial SSU rRNA". It matches the Rfam family "Bacterial small subunit ribosomal RNA", at positions 26 to 518 of the family's 1533-position model. The record is from RNAcentral.
AGGACGAACGCUGGCGGCGUGCCUAAUACAUGCAAGUCGAACGGUCUUUCUAUGGAAGCUUGCUUCCACUGAGAAGAUAGUGGCGAACGGGUGAGGUAACACGUGGGUAACCUGCCCAUAAGAGGGGGGAGUAACAUCCGGAAACGGGUGCUAAUACCGCAUAGUUUUUCUUGAUCGCAUGAUUGAGAAAGGAAAGAUGGCCUUUGUGCUGUCGCUUAUGGAUGGACCCGCGGCGUAUUAGUUAGUUGGUGAGGUAACGGCUCACCAAGACGAUGAUACGUAGCCGACCUGAGAGGGUGAUCGGCCACAUUGGGACUGAGACACGGCCCAAACUCCUACGGGAGGCAGCAGUAGGGAAUCUUCCGCAAUGGACGAAAGUCUGACGGAGCAACGCCGCGUGAGUGAAGAAAAGGGUUUUCGGAUCGUAAAACUCUGUUGUCAGAGAAGAACAAGUUGGAGAGUAACUGCUCCAGCCUUGACGGUAUCUGACCAGAAAGCCACGGCUAACUACGUGCCAGCCGCCGC